This 523-nucleotide ribosomal RNA is filed under the name Escherichia coli. RNAcentral describes it as "partial 23S ribosomal RNA". It matches the Rfam family "Bacterial large subunit ribosomal RNA", at positions 2408 to 2925 of the family's 2925-position model. The record is from RNAcentral. Lineage: Bacteria; Pseudomonadati; Pseudomonadota; Gammaproteobacteria; Enterobacterales; Enterobacteriaceae.
GGUCAUAGUGAUCCGGUGGUUCUGAAUGGAAGGGCCAUCGCUCAACGGAUAAAAGGUACUCCGGGGAUAACAGGCUGAUACCGCCCAAGAGUUCAUAUCGACGGCGGUGUUUGGCACCUCGAUGUCGGCUCAUCACAUCCUGGGGCUGAAGUAGGUCCCAAGGGUAUGGCUGUUCGCCAUUUAAAGUGGUACGCGAGCUGGGUUUAGAACGUCGUGAGACAGUUCGGUCCCUAUCUGCCGUGGGCGCUGGAGAACUGAGGGGGGCUGCUCCUAGUACGAGAGGACCGGAGUGGACGCAUCACUGGUGUUCGGGUUGUCAUGCCAAUGGCACUGCCCGGUAGCUAAAUGCGGAAGAGAUAAGUGCUGAAAGCAUCUAAGCACGAAACUUGCCCCGAGAUGAGUUCUCCCUGAGACUUUAAGUCUCCUGAAGGAACGUUGAAGACGACGACGUUGAUAGGCCGGGUGUGUAAGCGCAGCGAUGCGUUGAGCUAACCGGUACUAAUGAACCGUGAGGCUUAACCUU